This 406-nucleotide ribosomal RNA is filed under the name uncultured bacterium. RNAcentral's name for it is "partial 16S ribosomal RNA". It matches the Rfam family "Bacterial small subunit ribosomal RNA", at positions 30 to 526 of the family's 1533-position model. The record is from RNAcentral.
AUUGAACGCUGGCGGCAGGCUUAACACAUGCAAGUCGAGCGAGCGGCGGACGGGUGAGUAAUGUCUGGGAAACUGCCUGAUGGAGGGGGCUAACUACUGGAAACGGUGGCUAAUACCGCAUACCAUCGGAUGUACCCAUAUGGGAUUAGCUAGUAGGUGGGGUAAUGGCUCACCUAGGCGACGAUCCCUAGCUGGUCUGAGAGGAUGAGCAGCAACACUGGAACUGAGACACGGCCCAGACUCCUACGGGAGGCAGCAGGGGGGAAUAUUGCACAAUGGGCGCAAGCCUGAUGCAGCCAUGCCGCGUGUGUGAAGAAGGCCUUAGGGUUGUAAAGUACUUUCAGCGAGGAGGCGUUACUCGCAGAAGAAGCACCGGCUAACUCCGUGCCAGCAGCCGCGGUAAUUC